Molecule: ribosomal RNA, 498 nt
Filed under: uncultured bacterium
Lineage: Bacteria
Description: partial 16S ribosomal RNA
Rfam family: Bacterial small subunit ribosomal RNA
Source: RNAcentral
GGAUGAACGCUGGCGGCGUGCCUAAUACAUGCAAGUCGAGCGAACGGACGAGAAGCUUGCUUCUCUGAUGUUAGCGGCGGACGGGUGAGUAACACGUGGAUAACCUACCUAUAAGACUGGGAUAACUUCGGGAAACCGUAGCUAAUACCGGAUAAUAUUUUGAACCGCAUGGUUCAAAAGUGAAAGACGGUCUUGCUGUCACUUAUAGAUGGAUCCGCGCUGCAUUAGCUAGUUGGUAAGGUAACGGCUUACCAAGGCAACGAUGCAUAGCCGACCUGAGAGGGUGAUCGGCCACACUGGAACUGAGACGCGGUCCAGACUCCUACGGGAGGCAGCAGUAGGGAAUCUUCCGCAAUGGGCGAAAGCCUGACGGAGCAACGCCGCGUGAGUGAUGAAGGUCUUCGGAUCGUAAAACUCUGUUAUUAGGGAAGAACAUAUGUGUAAGUAACUGUGCACAUCUUGACGGUACCUAAUCAGAAAGCCACGGCUAACUACGUG